AACGAACGCUGGCGGCAGGCCUAACACAUGCAAGUCGAACGAGAAGCCGGAGCUUGCUCUGGUGGAAAGUGGCAGACGGGUGAGUAACGCGUGGGAACCUACCCAAGGGUUCGGGAUAACUCAGGGAAACUUGAGCUAAUACCGGAUACGCCUUGCGAGGGAAAGAUUUAUCGCCCCUGGACGGGCCCGCGUCGGAUUAGCUUGUUGGUGGGGUAAUGGCCUACCAAGGCUACGAUCCGUAGCUGGUCUGAGAGGAUGAUCAGCCACACUGGGACUGAGACACGGCCCAG
Molecule: ribosomal RNA, 290 nt
Filed under: uncultured bacterium
Lineage: Bacteria
Description: partial 16S ribosomal RNA
Rfam family: Bacterial small subunit ribosomal RNA
Source: RNAcentral